Long non-coding RNA from Mauremys reevesii (Reeves's turtle), 185 nucleotides. RefSeq lists it as uncharacterized. The transcript has 3 exons. NCBI's taxonomy places the organism in Eukaryota, Metazoa, Chordata, Testudines, Geoemydidae. The record is from RefSeq and is a predicted model, not a curated record.
CAUAAAUUGCAGUAAUUCAGGUCUGGACGAAUAAUGGCCUUGGCAUAGAGAGAAACACCAUUUCUUACCUCCAAAGGUGAUUUCUAAAGGGGUGUCAUCAGCGAUGUUGCUCCAGCUGUAGAAUUACCAUGCUUUUUGGCUGCUUGAAAAAGAGGGCCCACCACUCCAAAGCUCUCAGUACCCCC